UGGGGAAUAUUGCACAAUGGGCGAAAGCCUGAUGCAGCGACGCCGCGUGAGGGAUGACGGCCUUCGGGUUGUAAACCUCUUUCAGCAGGGACGAAGCGCAAGUGACGGUACCUGCAGAAGAAGCACCGGCUAACUACGUGCCAGCAGCCGCGGUAAUACGUAGGGUGCAAGCGUUGUCCGGAAUUACUGGGCGUAAAGAGUUCGUAGGCGGUUUGUCGCGUCGUUUGUGAAAACCAGCAGCUCAACUGCUGGCUUGCAGGCGAUACGGGCAGACUUGAGUACUGCAGGGGAGACUGGAAUUCCUGGUGUAGCGGUGAAAUGCGGAGAUAUCAGGAGGAACACCGGUGGCGAAGGCGGGUCUCUGGGCAGUAACUGACGCUGAGGAACGAAAGCGUGGGGAGCGAACAGG
RNAcentral lists this ribosomal RNA (409 nucleotides) under bacterium. RNAcentral's name for it is "partial 16S ribosomal RNA". It matches the Rfam family "Bacterial small subunit ribosomal RNA", at positions 355 to 776 of the family's 1533-position model. The record is from RNAcentral.